This 60-nucleotide microRNA precursor is filed under the name Cavia porcellus (domestic guinea pig). RNAcentral describes it as "Cpo-Mir-506-P26a_pre stem-loop". The record is from RNAcentral. Lineage: Eukaryota; Metazoa; Chordata; Mammalia; Rodentia; Caviidae.
CAACUCCAGGAUUCGUCGAUCAUGUGUAAUUAAGUUUGAUCGGCGUCUCCUGAAGUGAAG